This is a long non-coding RNA of Mustela erminea (ermine), 778 nucleotides long. RefSeq lists it as uncharacterized. The record is from RefSeq and is a predicted model, not a curated record. The transcript is spliced from 4 exons. NCBI's taxonomy places the organism in Eukaryota, Metazoa, Chordata, Mammalia, Carnivora, Mustelidae.
UAAGUUCCUGUUCCCAGUUCCGGGCAGAUGGUCACCUAUAAAAGCUCUGUUUUACCAACCUGCCAGAGUCUCCUGUCUGAUUCGUUCUCUGAUACUGUAUUCUGAGUCCAAGGAGUGCCUGACGACCUGAGGUUUCUCCGUCCUGCUAAACAGAGCUCGGAUCCCGGGUCCUGCAGGGAUGUAUGAAGUAUCUUCCAACCGUUUUGAGUGGUCUCAGUUUCCCGAAGUGAAACCUUGGAUAUGUACUUGCCUUGACGAGAAGCCUGUUGAUUCCUAGUAGGGGCCAAAGAUUCUGAAUGUUUUCCAGGCUCAAGAAGUGCAUCGCUAAAUUUCCCUCCCAUCAUGAUUAUGACACAACACUUAGAAAAAGUCCUCCCAAAAAUGUCCCUGCCUGUUCGCCCCUGUGAGGAACAGUUUAAAAGUUGGAGAGUCCACACAACCCAGAUCCCAGGUCAUGUGUUGGGAGGCAAAGCCUCUCCCAAUGCCCUUUCCUUUCUCUUCUGCUUGGCUGGUCCUUAAUAUCAUGAUGUGAAAGGCCCCAGCAUCGCAGUUACGGAGGGAGAGCUGGACGUAUUCUUCUAGAAGGUAAGCAACUCUGUGAUAUCUUGCUGGAACUCGGGCACUUUCUUAGUGGGGUGACUGCGCUGGCUCAUGCUGGCAGCGAGCAGUGAGUCUGUCACUGACCGUUUUUGUACUUUUUGGAGCCAGCUGUCAAAUACAGCUGCUGUUAAAUACUGCAGCGUCAAACAAUGUUGUAAUCCCCGCAGCUCUGUGAGGA